Long non-coding RNA from Helianthus annuus (common sunflower), 1702 nucleotides. RefSeq lists it as uncharacterized. The transcript has 10 exons. Lineage: Eukaryota; Viridiplantae; Streptophyta; Magnoliopsida; Asterales; Asteraceae. The record is from RefSeq and is a predicted model, not a curated record.
AAUGUUACUGAUAGUAAAUCUUGUGAGUGAAGGUAGUCAAGGUGUCCAUGUUUGUUUUGUUUCAGAUGGUGUGGUGUCUGAUGCGAGCAAAAAGAAGAAGGCAGUCGCCUCAGCCAAGAGAGGAGUACAAGCUUUGAUGAACAUAAAGAAUGGUCUAGAUGAUCCACAUAGUGUCUUGAAUUGGGAUGCAGAUGCUGUUGAUCCAUGUAGUUGGACUAUGAUCACUAUUCUAUUUUGUUGUAUGCACAGAAGCUUCAGAUGGCAGUGUAGGCCAGCAGCUACAAGAGUAUGCACAGACGGCUUUGGGUUCACAAACUGAACCAACGUUCAACCAGCCUUUCCAGCUUUCAACACCGCUGCAGGCACGACCUCCAUUUUUCACUCGUGCAUACAUCCCUCCUCCGGAAAUUUGCAGGCCAGUGUCACCAGGACAGCUCAUCGAAAAUUUAUUUCACGUCGCCGGGUUCCGAGAAGCCUUUCUUCCAGUAUGCAUGCCAGAGAAUUGUUGUCGACGUACGACCCCAAGAAGGCGAAAGUAUCCGAGCAUGAGGAGAUCGGAUUUCGUACGGUUCCUGAAAGCAGCAAAGACUAACAUUCAAACACAAAUGGAAGACAGAAAUCCAAAACUCAGUCUAACUAGUGUCAUGAUGGUUUGCGGUUGCAUAAACAGAUUGUGCAUCUGAUCAUUUUGAAUUUUUUUAUGUAGGUUUAUGCUCUACGGUUAAAAAGGUUCAGGAGAAGGGUGCGGGUGACAAUGGAAGGUCGGUAUCUAGAAGGCAAUCUGCUCGGUUUGAACAUGAUGAACCGAAACUCGCAGAGGACAUGUUCCAUACAAACGAGAUUGAUGAUAAAAUGCAAGUCUGUCUCGUGAAGUAACUAAGAAGGUUCAGUUAAGGAAAUUGGCGUCAACGUAAAAAUGCGCAGACCUGACCAGGAGUUACUAGAUCGGGCAAUCAGUAUAACGAGCAUUUUAUGGGUUCCAGUUCGUGCUACUAAUGAUGUAUUAGAAAGAGGAACAUCUGUAGGUUCCAGUUCGUGCUACUAUGAUUACUGAAGAGGAAGCUAAAGCUAUGAAUCCCAAUUCUAUAUUAAACAUUAGAUACACAAGGUUUCCACGUGUUCAAGGCAUGAAUGAUGAAAAAUCCCCUGAAACGAUCCUAGCACACGAUCGAGUUAUCUGUCUAGGGGAUCUAAAUCACUGAAUUGCCCUCUCGUAUCGAUCUGCAAAGGCGCUUGUUGAAAUGCAGAACUGGAGAGCAUUGUUGGUGAAAGAUCAGGGAGAAAAGAGUUGUUUGAACAGUGGAACAGGAGCCAACAGUGAACAACAGGCAUCAGGACCAUGCCUCCGAAAGGACAUCUGCUUUUUUGCUUUGAAACCAUACACAAUAAUAGUCAACAACUACUUUUGUCAUUGGAACUCUACAUUUGACUAUCUUAACAUUAUAUAUAGUCUACAACACUACACACUUACAUACACUCCAUCCAACUUUCUACAUACAAACACUACACCCCCACCUUCAGUGUGCUUGCGGAAGCAUAGAAAGAACAACAUUCAGAAAAUCAAUUCAACUGUCUAAUUGACACUACUUUCGUCUGGGUCUUGCAUUGUUUCUCGCCUCUAUACAUUUUGAUUCUUGCAUUAUUUCUCUUUUUUUUAACAUCUCGGUCCUGCAUUGUGGUAAGUAUUCCUCAAUUUUUUAAU